RNAcentral lists this ribosomal RNA (114 nucleotides) under Prunus dulcis (almond). Lineage: Eukaryota; Viridiplantae; Streptophyta; Magnoliopsida; Rosales; Rosaceae. The record is from RNAcentral.
UUUUGGGAGCUCACUGGAUUCGGAGUCAUGGGAACUCCGAAGUUAAGCGAAUUGGGGCUAGAGCAAUCCCAGGAUGGGGGACCUACUCGGAAGUUGCUCAUGAGCUCCCAUAAA